Molecule: ribosomal RNA, 377 nt
Filed under: uncultured bacterium
Lineage: Bacteria
Description: bacterial SSU rRNA
Rfam family: Bacterial small subunit ribosomal RNA
Source: RNAcentral
UAAUACGUAGGGUGCGAGCGUUAAUCGGAAUUACUGGGCGUAAAGCGUGCGCAGGCGGUUUCGUAAGACAGCUGUGAAAUCCCCGGGCUUAACCUGGGAACUGCGGUUGUGACUGCGAGACUAGAGUCAGGCAGAGGGGGGUGGAAUUCCGCGUGUAGCAGUGAAAUGCGUAGAGAUGCGGAGGAACACCGAUGGCGAAGGCAGCCCCCUGGGCUAUGACUGACGCUCAUGCACGAAAGCGUGGGGAGCAAACAGGAUUAGAUACCCUGGUAGUCCACGCCCUAAACGAUGCCAACUAGGUGUUGGGGAAGGAGACUUCCUUAGUACCGUAGCUAACGCGUGAAGUUGGCCGCCUGGGGAGUACGGUCGCAAGAUUA